RNAcentral lists this ribosomal RNA (253 nucleotides) under uncultured bacterium. Its description in RNAcentral is "partial 16S ribosomal RNA". It matches the Rfam family "Bacterial small subunit ribosomal RNA", at positions 524 to 776 of the family's 1533-position model. The record is from RNAcentral.
UACGUAGGGGGCCAGCGUUGUUCGGAAUUACUGGGCGUAAAGGGUUCGUAGGCGGUGCGGCAAGUUGGGAGUGAAAUCUCUGGGCUUAACCCAGAGACUGCUUUCAAAACUGCUGUGCUAGAGUAUGAGAGAGGCUCGUGGAAUUGCAGGUGUAGCGGUGAAAUGCGUAGAUAUCUGCAGGAACACCCGUGGCGAAAGCGGCGAGCUGGAUCAUCACUGACGCUGAGGAACGAAAGCUAGGGGAGCAAACAGG